GUGCAUCCACUGAUAGGCCUGUUGCCUAAUGGUGGCCUCUUGGUUUGCACGCGGAUGCGACAUCAAUCCUCCUCGUGUCUUCUGGCCAUCAGAAUGUUGGCAGGAAUUGACUGAAUUGAGGAGAAUAGAA
Xyrauchen texanus (razorback sucker) is the source of this 130-nucleotide small nucleolar RNA. RefSeq annotates it as small nucleolar RNA SNORA31. NCBI's taxonomy places the organism in Eukaryota, Metazoa, Chordata, Actinopteri, Cypriniformes, Catostomidae. The transcript has a single exon. The record is from RefSeq and is a predicted model, not a curated record.